GUGCCAGCAGCCGCGGUAAUACGUAGGGUGCGAGCGUUAAUCGGAAUUACUGGGCGUAAAGCGUGCGCAGGCGGUUCGCUGUGUCCGAUGUGAAAGCCCCGGGCUUAACCUGGGAAUGGCAUUGGAAACUGGCGGGCUUGAGUGCGGCAGAGGGGGGUGGAAUUCCGCGUGUAGCAGUGAAAUGCGUAGAGAUGCGGAGGAACACCGAUGGCGAAGGCAGCCCCCUGGGUCGACACUGACGCUCAGGCACGAAAGCGUGGGGAGCAAACAGGAUUAGAUACCCUGGUAGUCC
Molecule: ribosomal RNA, 292 nt
Filed under: uncultured bacterium
Lineage: Bacteria
Description: partial 16S ribosomal RNA
Rfam family: Bacterial small subunit ribosomal RNA
Source: RNAcentral